RNAcentral lists this unclassified non-coding RNA (453 nucleotides) under Hevea brasiliensis (rubber tree). The record is from RNAcentral. Lineage: Eukaryota; Viridiplantae; Streptophyta; Magnoliopsida; Malpighiales; Euphorbiaceae.
GGUGGUCCAGGUGGAGGCAUGGAGUAGUUGUUGACUCGUCGCCGCCUCACCGGAAGUGAUUCAAAGUUUUCCACCGCGGAAGUCAGAACCCUAGUUCUAAUCCUGAGAACUUCAAAGAAUCGAAGUGAAAACUGAAAAGUUAUGGGUAUUAUUGGCCUAUUGGGAAUUAUCGCGGUAUCGCCUAUAACUAGGGUGUAAAAUUAGAAAAUUAGGAAAAAAAUAUUAAUAUAAAUAUAGGUCUUAUCGGGGUAUCGGGUAGCCCGAUAUUUUGGCUCCCCAACCCGACCCCCGAACCGAUUACCCAAUACACUAUUUUUCUAAAUCGAGCCCCGAACUGUUAGCCCAAUAACUCAAACCGGUAGCCCAAUAACCCGAAAAUCGGUCCGGGUUAACGGUUUGACCCGUUUUUUGCACAGGCAUGGCCAUUCAAGAUAAAUAUAUAAAUCACGAAAA